RNAcentral lists this transfer RNA (76 nucleotides) under Mus musculus (house mouse). RNAcentral's name for it is "tRNA-Ala". The record is from RNAcentral. Lineage: Eukaryota; Metazoa; Chordata; Mammalia; Rodentia; Muridae.
GGGGUUAUAGCUCAGUGGUGGGUUGCUUGCUUAGCAAGUAGCAAGUGCAAGGUUCUGGGUUCGAUACCUAAUUUCA